Molecule: long non-coding RNA, 2047 nt
Filed under: Malus domestica (apple)
Lineage: Eukaryota; Viridiplantae; Streptophyta; Magnoliopsida; Rosales; Rosaceae
Description: long non-coding RNA (MDOM_LNC012794)
Source: RNAcentral
AGGAAUGAAGGCCCUCUCUUUGGGUGAUUAGCCUUUGCUUAUGCAAAGAGGAAUCGACAAAGGUAUAAAUUUCAACUCACUUUGUUUUGAGUUGAGUCUUGGUUCACCAAUCUACUAGGCUUUGAAUUUCAUGGUUAAUGUUUUGUUUUUAAGUGCAUGCAAGCAUGAUUCCGCCUUUAAUUGUUAAUUGCAUGCUUAUAGAUGUUGCUUAAAUGAACAUGUUUUUUCACAAAUCUUCCUUCAUGUUUAUCCUUACCUUUCAUUGUUAGCCAAUACCUUAGCCCCGUUACAACCCUUGACUUCCAUCUUGAGUGUUGUGUGUUUCAAUAUGUGGAGUUUGGAAUUGGUAUGAGCAUAUGAUAUCACUGGUUCUCGCUUUUAAGUAGUAGCAUUUCAUUCAUGAGAUCAUAUAUAUACAUGCAUUAGUAAUUCCAGAAAUUGCUUUCUUUGUUUAAAACAUAUGUGAGUAGUUUUCAUGUUUACAUCAAUCUUCUCACAUAUACCUAGUGUAGGGUGUGUAAUAAGAAAAUCUGAGUGAAAAUUGAGUGCAUAUCUAGUUAGGAAUUGAAGGAAUUCUCUAAGGCAUGUUAAUACAUUCAAAAAUGUUGUUUUAAUUGAUUAAAAUGUGAGCUAGUGAAUGGUGACUAUGAUUAAGUGUGCUCAAGGGUAAGAAUUGCUUAAAUCUAUGUGAAGUAGUGAUCUUUGGCAUAUUAUGUUUCAUUGGAAAUCUCUGAGGCAAAUGUUGGAAGGUGUAGAUUGUUUCUUUUGUUUCUUUUGUUUGUUUGUUUUGCUCAAGGGCUAGCAAACGCUAAGUGUGGGGGAAUUUGAUAGGAGCAUAUUUAUGCGACUUAGUUAGCUUGUUCUUGUGCAUUUUUGUUGUUAUUCUUUAGUUAUUUUAGUGUUUAAAGUCAUUUUCGUGCAAUUUCAGGUUUAUAUGGCUAAUAUGGCAAAGAAGUGCAUUUGGAGCCUUUUUGGAGAAAAAUUGGGCUUGGAAUCCAUGACACAUGCUUGGAGCUAAGAGAAUGGACGAAAUUGAAGACCUAAAGAUAUGAAAAUUCCUAAUUGAAAGAGGAUUCCUAGAAGAAUAAGGAUUCCUACUUGAAGUAGGAAAGUUAAGCCAAGGUUUCCUAUUUUGGGUUGACCUUUUCUAAUCCUAAAUGGCCCUAAGUUCCAGCAACAUUGAAGGUUCCUAUGCAUUGUAGGACACAAACCAAAGGUUCCUUACACCAUUCAAAGCCUUGCCGCACCACCUUUCCCUUUCCCCUUCCAUUCCUAUUCCUUGUCGUGCAAGGGAGAGCCUUCCUUCCCUUUUCCUUGUUUCACAUACCCUUUUCCCUUCCCUCAACAUCCUUGCCGCAUAUCCCCUUACCUUUUCCUUAGGAUUUUGACUUUAAUUCCUAUUUCCCUUUAUGUUUUGGUUUAAUUUCUGUUACCUAAAUUAUUUCCUAGUCUUAAUUACCCUAAAGUCUUUAAAUAAACACCAUAGCCGCAUCUAUUGAGGAUCAUUCACUAUUCUACACAUCUAUCCACUUCCAGUCGCACCCAUUCACCACUCAUCACGCCACCAACCAUUCAGCCAUACAUCCAUCUCUAAACAUCCAGCCGCACUUCCUAGACAACCUUAAGCCAUUCUUCCAUACAUAUAACUAUCCAAAUCAUCACCCAUUCCUUGUGCCGCAACAAAGGAAGGGAAGAAAAGUUAUUGGACGUACUUGCUGUUUAGAUUGGAUUGCUGGAGUGUUUAGGUGUUUUCUUUCUUUUGUUUUCAAUGUAUAAAUUUAUUUACCUUUGUGUUGGAAAUAUGCCCUGAAAGUCAAUCUUUGGAAGAAACCUUUCAGGACAAAUAAAUCGAUGUAUAGAUGAAUCUUAUACAUCAAAUGGCAAAGAUACUAAUUAGGACUAUCUCAAUACAUCAUAUAUGUCCUAAAUAGUGUAUCCAUGGACAAUGGAUCGAUUGAAGAAGUAAUCUAAUGAUGUUAGACUACAGAGACCUUCUUCACAUAACCAAAUGUCGAAAAAGGUUCCUGGUCAUUGGAUUGUCGGAGGG